RNAcentral lists this ribosomal RNA (253 nucleotides) under uncultured bacterium. RNAcentral's name for it is "partial 16S ribosomal RNA". It matches the Rfam family "Bacterial small subunit ribosomal RNA", at positions 524 to 776 of the family's 1533-position model. The record is from RNAcentral.
UACGUAGGGGGCGAGCGUUGUCCGGAUUUAUUGGGUUUAAAGGGUGCGUAGGCGGCUUUGUAAGUCAGGGGUGAAAUACUCCAGCUUAACUGGAGGGGUGCCAUUGAUACUGCGGAGCUUGAGUACAGAUGAGGUAGGCGGAAUUGACGGUGUAGCGGUGAAAUGCAUAGAUAUCGUCAAGAACACCGAUAGCGAAGGCAGCUUACUGGGCUGUAACUGACGCUGAUGCACGAAAGUGUGGGGAGCAAACAGG